AUGUUAUAUUCAUGCCCCAAUCAUGAGCUCUCAAAAGAAAUGAUUAUUCAAAAAAAUUAUGCUCGGCUCUCUCUCAGUAAUCGCUCCAUGCUCAAUACUUCUUAUACUGGUUCUUUUAUGAUGAAGACUAUUGAAUUCAAAUGGGAUUUAUUGGAAAGAAUUAAUCGCAACUCUGAAGAUUGGGACCUCGACGAAUGUAAGGAAUCAAGUAUAACACCUAAGUUUGAUUGUGUUAAAUCUUUUAUGGAUACCGAUGCUUUCCAUGAAUUUAGCACUAAAUAUGGACUUGACUUUGAGAUAGUAGCUUCUUUCUGUGAAUCCUUUGCUACUCAUGUUGAUCUCCCUAAGGAGAAGUGUUUUAAAUAUAAUCCUCCCAUUGAAGUAAAAGUAGUUGCACCUAUUAAAGUUGAAGAAAAGACUAUCACUUAUAAUGAUUCUGUUGUUCCCACUGCUUAUAUUGAGAAACCACCUUUCCCUGUUAGAAUAAAGGAUCAUGCUAAAGCUUCAACUAUGGUUCGUAAGAGUAACACUAGAACACCUACUCCCUCUGAGAAAAUUAAAGUUGAACCUAGUGUUGCUAUGGUUAAAGAUCUCUUGACCGAUAAUAUUGAUGGGCAUGUUAUUUACUUCUGUGAUGAAUCUGCUAGAAUUGCUAGACCCGAUACUAAAAAUAAACAUAGACAUGUUGUAGGCAUGCAUGUUAUUUCUGUUAAAAUAGGAGAUCAUUGCUAUCAUGGCUUAUGUGAUAUGGGUGCUAGUGCAAGUGCAAUACCUCAUUCUCUAUAUAAAGUAAUUAUGCAUGAUAUUGCACCUGCUGAGAUAGAAGAGAUUGAUGUUACAAUUAAGCUUGCCAAUAGAGAUACUAUUUCACCAGUUGGGAUUGUUAGAGAUGUUGAAGUCUUGUGUGGGAAAGUUAAAUAUCCUGCUGAUUUUCUUGUUGUUGGUUCCCCACAAGAUAACUUUUGUCCCAUUAUAUUUGGUAUACCUAAACUAAACCAAGCUUAA
This 1005-nucleotide ribosomal RNA is filed under the name Triticum aestivum (bread wheat). Its description in RNAcentral is "partial small subunit ribosomal RNA". The record is from RNAcentral. Lineage: Eukaryota; Viridiplantae; Streptophyta; Magnoliopsida; Poales; Poaceae.